AUGCCAUGGAAGGGCCACCAUGAGCAGGAGCAGGACGACGCCUUGGAAGGUUCACCGACAGGAGCAACUACGUACGGUCUGAUCUUCUCCACUGACAGGGAUAUCGACAUGGAGGUCCGCCAUGGAAGGCCUGGAGCUCGUCAUGGAGGGGCCCUCCUCUCUCUUCCCCUCCCUCUACUCUGUUGGUUGGUUGGACGGAAGACCACCGCUCGUCCGGCUCUGCUUCUUCCACCGUUGCUCCCCUCCCACCAUAGUGCCACAGACGCUAUUGCAAGCACGGAAGAAAUCUUUGGAGUUCCUUCUUCAGAAACUUUUAUUCUGGCGCAGUUUGUACAGAUUUUUAUGUACAGUACGCAAAGUCAUAUGACUGCUGAAAAUGGACCGUCGUAUAUGCCUGUACAAGAAUUAGAUUCGGGGAGCCGCCUCGAUCCAGAGUACUCGCAAUCCAUUAUAGGGCAGUUCAAAUCCUGCCUCUGGAAGCAUUGGUUGACCUAUUGGCACAACCCAGAUUACAACCUUGUGAGAUUUUCCUUCACUUUGUUCACAGCCUUGCUGCUUGGCUCCAUCCUUUGGAAGAUUGGCACCAUUAUGGGUGGAUGCCAAUACUCUUAG
RNAcentral lists this ribosomal RNA (612 nucleotides) under Triticum aestivum (bread wheat). RNAcentral describes it as "partial small subunit ribosomal RNA". Lineage: Eukaryota; Viridiplantae; Streptophyta; Magnoliopsida; Poales; Poaceae. The record is from RNAcentral.